RNAcentral lists this long non-coding RNA (937 nucleotides) under Panax ginseng (ginseng). Its description in RNAcentral is "long non-coding RNA (PGIN_LNC002110)". Lineage: Eukaryota; Viridiplantae; Streptophyta; Magnoliopsida; Apiales; Araliaceae. The record is from RNAcentral.
AGGGCCCAACACGCCCAGAGGCAGCACCACGCACACGCCCACAGGCAACGCCAACCAGGACCAUCGAAUGAAAUGGCGGCAAACAUGAAAAAAGGUUGAAAACCCCCGCACGAGCUCGCCUCCCAUCGCCUUGAGUUGAAUCUGUUUGCCUCUCGCCUCGCAUCGCCGCGCAUUGUGUAGCAUAGGCUAGCAUUGGCGUCGCCAUCGUGUUGCCUUGAUCCUUUCUUCCCUAUCCACGACCAACGCAAAACUUGGAAAGCCGUUUGUGGUCGACUUCGUGGGACUUUCAUGAUAAUCAAUGGCCCUUCUCGACACAUUUUUGUUUCAUAUCCAUGUUCAUGUUAGCCAAAGCCUAACCGCGAACCCCCAACGUGAACAAGAAAAAAAUAAUAAUGUAAACAAACAGUAUUCAAUAAAAAUAGUGAUUACCAUAUGUGAUAUUUUUGAAGCAUUUUGAACUAUUUUCUAACAGGUGACCUCAGCGUCCCAAGGAAAAAAAAGAAUUUGUGCAGCGCCCAGAUGGCCCAGGCGUCGGGUUGGGACGCUCGAUAUUAAUUUUUUUUAGUCUUUCUGUAUGUUGUUUGGAAACAGUAAUCAUCAACCUACAAUUUACAAGCAUUUUGUAGUUUUCAUAUUAUGAAUUUUUAAUUUUACAAUUUAUUUAUAUUUUUAAUAAUUUAUUUAAUUAAAAUAUAAUAAUAAUUAAUUUUUGUCUUUUAAUUAUAUUGAAACUUUUUUGUGGGGUACUAUUUUGUAUAUGCUUGAACACGUGGGUGAUAACACUCAAAAAUAGUGUGUACUUCUUAUAAAAAGUACAUUAUGACUCCUCAAGCAGGGGUGAUGUCUAGUGCUGUCACUUUGGUUUUUUUCAUAAGUGCUACUAUAGGGAGGGGGUACCUCACUCAAAUUGUACCUACAAUUUACAAGCAUUUUGUAG